GUCUUUGUAACAUGUGCUGGAAACAUCAGAGGCACAUGCUUCUCUGCGGCCAAGAUAAGCCUCUCUUUGUCCAUCUUUGCAGCACACAGUGUGAACAACAUGCAAGUUCUAUGCAGUUUCCAGCCAAUGCCAGCAGAGCUGCAGAGG
Myripristis murdjan (pinecone soldierfish) is the source of this 147-nucleotide long non-coding RNA. RefSeq lists it as uncharacterized. NCBI's taxonomy places the organism in Eukaryota, Metazoa, Chordata, Actinopteri, Holocentriformes, Holocentridae. The transcript has 3 exons. The record is from RefSeq and is a predicted model, not a curated record.